This is a long non-coding RNA of Amphiprion ocellaris (clown anemonefish), 2596 nucleotides long. Lineage: Eukaryota; Metazoa; Chordata; Actinopteri; Pomacentridae. The record is from Ensembl.
GCAAAACACUUGGAUUUAUCCAGUGUUGCUUUAUUCAAGCAAUAACUGAAGUUAGGUUUUUAAAAUAAUGAUCAGUUAUGUGGAAGUGCAACUUAACUCAUUUUGUGCUUGACAAGAUAAUUUGCUCACAAAUAUAUUCAGUUGCCCUAAAAUAAAACACUUCAGUUUGCCUCAUUAAUUCUGCCUCAGAGCAAACAGGUUGAUGUCAAACCACUUCUCUAAUUCUACAACUCUAAUUGUAAAACCUUUAGCAUAACUUGCAGUGGUGUAACAGUCAAAGCAUUUCAGUCUUUCCAACUCCAGUUCAACAUUCAAGACAAUUAAAAUUCUUCUCCAAAUCACUUUAUUUCACACUUUAACCAAAACACACUGGCCAACUCCCCAGCUUCUUUAGGGUUUAAUAUUAACACAGGAAUACUAUAAACUUUGAAAACAGAAAUACUUUGUGUCACAAGACAAAAACUGCAUCGUACCAAAUAAAAAGGUUCACAUGUAGUAUUACCAGAAUACUGGUAGAAGAAAACAAACUCAUUUACACACUUGGGCUUUUUGCGGCAGUUUCGACGUUUGGUCUUUAACCACCGUCUUGAUGACCCCCACAGCAACUGUCUGCUUCAGGUCUCUUGCUGCAAAGCGACCUGGAGAGCAAAAUUAAAGUUAGGAGGAUGUACAAGUCAACAUGGGGAAAACUUAUAGAAAAGUAGAUGCUGUACCUAAAGGAGGGUAUGUGAAGAAGCUCUCCACACACAUGGGCUUGAUGGGAACCAGUUUGACUGUAGCAGCGUCUCCAGACAUCAGGACCUGCGGAUUAUCCUCCAGCUUCUUACCCGUCCGACGGUCCAGCUUCUCCUUCAGCUCAGCAAAUCGACAGGUGACGUGGGCGGUGUGGCAGUCCAGGACAGGGGAGUAGCCCGAUUUGAUCUUCCCUGGGUGGUUGAGGAUGAUCACCUGGAGACCAAAACGUCACAUGAGGGAGCAAGAACAGUUUGAAGUUCUAUUAUUCAAUGCAUUCAACCAACCUGAGCCUCAAAGCUGCUGACGUCUGAGGGAGGAUCCUGCUGGGCGUUGCCAGCCACAUCGCCACGCCGCAGGUUCUUCACGGCCACAUUCUUGAUGUUGAAGCCGACGUUGUGGCCUGGAAGAGCCGUCUGCAGGCCCUGGUGGUGCAUCUCAAUGGACUUGACCUCUGCUGUGAGCUUGGCGGGGGAGAACAUCAGGGUCAUGCCCGGUUUGAGGACGCCAGUUUCGAUUUUACCCACUGGAACAGUACCAACUCCUAAGAGAAUCAAAACAUGUAGAUGUAGUUUUGUGCAUCGUCUCCUGAAUACCUGGACCUCAUUUAAUCAAUCAAACGCAAUGAAUUUAGACCUUAAAAAAACGAUUAGAGCAGUCUGACCUCCAAUUUUGUACACAUCCUGCAGAGGUAACCUUAGAGGCUUGUUGAUUGUGCGGAUAGGCGGGUGGAUGGAGUCCAGGACUUCCAGUAGAGUUCUCCCACAUGCAGUCCCUUCCCUUCGUCUCACUUUCCAUCCUUGGAACCACGGCAUCUGCACACACAUUCAUUAUUUGACACAUUGCACAUCAACCUGUGGCAAUUUAAGGCCUCAGAUAUUUCACCUUCUGGGUUGCAGUGAUCAUGUUCUCCCCAGUCCAGCCGGAAACGGGAACAAACGGUACAGCCGUGGUGUCGUAGCCGAUCUUCCUGAGGAACCCGCUCACUCCCCGCACCACUUCCUCAAAGCGUUUCUGGCUGUAAGGCGGCUCGGUCAGGUCCAUCUUGUUCACGCAGACUAUAAUUUGCUUCACGCCCAGAGUGUAAGCCAGCAGGGCAUGCUCUCUGGUCUGACCGCUUCUGGAAACACCGGCCUCGAACUCUCCUUUAGCUGCAGAGACCACCAGCAGGGCAACAUCAGCCUGCAAUGACAGUCACACAACCGUUUUUUUUUUUUAAAGAAACAAAGCAGCUUAUUCCUACUGAAAAUGCUGGAACUUGUGUGUCUUUACCUGUGAUGUCCCGGUUAUCAUGUUCUUAAUGAAGUCACGGUGGCCCGGAGCAUCAAUUAUAGUCAUGGUGUAUUUCUGGGUGUUGAACUUCAGCAGGGAAAUAUCAAUAGUGAUUCCUCGCUCACGUUCGGCUUUCAGCUUGUCCAACACCCAGGCAAAUUUGAAAGAAGUCUUCCCCAUCUAGAAAACAAGUUUCAUUAGAGUUGAACACUUAAAUUUCCUUUCCUCAUUCCUUACAGAGCACCAUUUCUUCCUCACUUGAGCUGCAGCUUUCUCAAACUUCUCCAGUCUCCUCUGAUCGAUGCCUCCACAUUUGUAGACCAGGUGUCCGGUGGUGGUCGACUUGCCGCUGUCGACGUGGCCGAUGAUCACCACGUUAACGUGAGUCUUCUCUUUUCCCAUGGCUGAAAGCGGAUUUACUGACCAAACGAAGAAACUGCAGGGCUACAAAUAUCACACUUGUAGAUCCUUCUAUCAAAUAGAUCUGACCAGCUGCUUUAGGAGCAGCUUUAUAGGCUCCAGAGACACUUAAGUGGAGACAGGUGUGCUGCUUAAUCAGCCUUAAUUGGUGUCAGUUGAUGAAGAAUUAAAC